This 524-nucleotide ribosomal RNA is filed under the name uncultured bacterium. RNAcentral describes it as "bacterial SSU rRNA". It matches the Rfam family "Bacterial small subunit ribosomal RNA", at positions 21 to 518 of the family's 1533-position model. The record is from RNAcentral.
GGCUCAGGACGAACGGCUGGCGGCGUAGCCUAAUACAUGCAAGUCGAACGGUCUUUCUAUGGAAGCUUGCUCCACUGAGAAGAUAGUGGCGAACGGGUGAGUAACACGUGGGUAACCUGCCCAUAAGAGGGGGAUAACAUCCGGAAACGGGUGCUAAUACCGCAUAGUUUCUUGAUCGCAUGAUUGAGAAAGGAAAGACGGCCUUUGUGCUGUCGCUUAUGGAUGGACCCGCGGCGUAUUAGUUAGUUGGUGAGGUAACGGCUCACCAAGACGAUGAUACGUAGCCGACCUGAGAGGGUGAUCGGCCACAUCGGGACUGAGACACGGCCCAAACUCCUACGGGAGGCAGCAGUAGGGAAUCUUCCGCAAUGGACGAAAGUCUGACGGAGCAACGCCGCGUGAGUGAAAGAAGGUUUUCGGAUCGUAAAACUCUGUUGUCAGAGAAGAACAAGUUGGAGAGUAACUGCUCCAGCCUUGACGGUAUCUGACCAGAAAGCCACGGCUAACUACGUGCCAGCCGCCGC